This is a long non-coding RNA of Pimephales promelas (fathead minnow), 1512 nucleotides long. RefSeq lists it as uncharacterized. The record is from RefSeq and is a predicted model, not a curated record. Lineage: Eukaryota; Metazoa; Chordata; Actinopteri; Cypriniformes; Leuciscidae.
ACAUUUCAAUUGAAGUACAGAAAUAAUUGAUUUUACGGAUUAUGUCUGUUUAUAUUGGGUCGUAGUUCACAACUUAAAAUCAAACGAGAGAGAAAAUGAUAGUGGUAACAGUUUACAAUAAGAUUUUAGAAGUUACAUGACUUAACAUGAACUUCACAACACUUACAGCCAUUUAUUAAUCUUAGCUAAUGUCGAUCUCAAUUGACUUCCCAUUGGGCCCCAUGACGUCCAUGGUAUGGAAAAAAAAACACUAAGCCAAUGGGGACAUUGCCGACAUUCUUCGAAAUAUCUUCUUUUGUGAUCAGUAAAAUAAAUUUGGAACAUCUUGAGGAAUCUCAUGGGCGGAACUUGGGACUUGAUUGACGCCUCCUACGACCAGCAGGCGAUCACGGAUCACGAUGCUUGAGGCAGAGCAACGUGGCGUUGACAUGGGCGACAGCCUUUCCCAUUUUCUUUUUUCGGGAUUGAAGGCUUCAACAGUGUCCAGCACUGAUGGCUGAUGGCCUGUAAAAGGAGAGCAGAUGUUUUGAUGACACCAACCGAGACAGCAACUGUGCGGUAGAUAAAUAUAUUAUGAUGCAACUUCCAUACCUAGACCUCCCGCCACGAUCAUUCUGCCUCGCACUAUGGCUGCAGCAAAGUCUGCUCGCUUGGUCUUCAAGGGCACGGUGUCCUCUGAUUUCAACCAAGUUCCUAUAAAAACAAAGCGGACACAAACAAAUAGCAAUAAUAAAGUGCAAAAUAUUAAAGGUGAAGUGUGUAAUAUCUGCACCACAAGCAGCAAUUUGCAAGAUGUCCUUCUAAUAAUGUCUUGCGUAUUGUUUGUACAUUAAUUUGGGUUUUUCAGCUUUGAAUAAAUUACAAAAUACUCACCAUUAACCCUGUGUGAUUUAAAAUCUGACAUAUUACAUCAGAUUUAUACAAUGAGUGAAAGAAAAUUAACAGGCUUUUACAGUAUUAUAUGAUUUAAAAACGGUUUUGUUUGACAGCUUUUCCUAAAGUGUCUAAAGAGGAAAUACAAAUAAAGGACUUUCCUGCAGAUUAGAGUCUGGGUGCUUGUCGAUUAGAGUUGACAGACUGUUUUCCAUUUGCAGAAUCUAAUAUACGUCUAAUAACUAAGCCGAUAGCUUGCUGUAAUAAAUGCAAUGACCAUUUUUUCAAAACUUACUGAGCUAGAACGCUUUAAUUGCUUUGAAAAGGAAGUUAGAUUUGAGCAGCUUUCUGUGUUUCACAGAUGUAGAAUGUUAAUUUGGCACAUUAUUUACAACAACCUAAUCUGCCAAAAGCACAAUCAAAGCCAAUAACACAGAGACCACAUUAGAAUAAUGAUGGUUGUUUGAGAGUUGCCAACUCCUUUCACCAUUCAUGUUUGCACGCUUGAUUGCAAAGACACGUAUGCAGAUGCUCACAGCACUUGUGUGUGUAUGAAUAAAUUUAAAGCAACACCUAACUUUUGUCAUUACAGGAAUUUUUUAACAGAUCAAGCAAUCUUGGAAUGCAAGUGAUAUGAAA